This 295-nucleotide ribosomal RNA is filed under the name Shigella sonnei. RNAcentral's name for it is "partial 16S ribosomal RNA". It matches the Rfam family "Bacterial small subunit ribosomal RNA", at positions 1 to 290 of the family's 1533-position model. The record is from RNAcentral. Lineage: Bacteria; Pseudomonadati; Pseudomonadota; Gammaproteobacteria; Enterobacterales; Enterobacteriaceae.
UUAAAUUGAAGAGUUUGAUCAUGGCUCAGAUUGAACGCUGGCGGCAGGCCUAACACAUGCAAGUCGAACGGUAACAGGAAGCAGCUUGCUGCUUCGCUGACGAGUGGCGGACGGGUGAGUAAUGUCUGGGAAACUGCCUGAUGGAGGGGGAUAACUACUGGAAACGGUAGCUAAUACCGCAUAACGUCGCAAGACCAAAGAGGGGGACCUUCGGGCCUCUUGCCAUCGGAUGUGCCCAGAUGGGAUUAGCUUGUUGGUGGGGUAACGGCUCACCAAGGCGACGAUCCCUAGCUGG